Molecule: long non-coding RNA, 366 nt
Organism: Manacus vitellinus (golden-collared manakin)
Lineage: Eukaryota; Metazoa; Chordata; Aves; Passeriformes; Pipridae
Exons: 3
Source: RefSeq, a predicted model, not a curated record
CUUAGUCUUUCGAUGAGCCCAAAGUCAGGGUUUGGCUGGGACUCGGGAGAGUCGAUGGAAAGCUAUCGGGGAUGUGGUAAGGAAAACAACUGUGUGCCAUCCAUGUCUCAUGCAACACCCAAGGAGCUCUGGAUUUGGAAGGGGGAAUCCCACUGAAGCUGGCAUUUCCUUGAACUGUGUUUGACUUCAAUCUCCUGGCUCUGGGGUUGUGUAGAAGACUCUGUUCCUAUGAGUAGAGGCAAGACUUUCAUAUUGGACUGAAACAUAAGGAUGGAGACAGAGAUUGACUGGAAGAAUAAGAUUUGGGGACAAAAAUGCCAGGCCUGGUAGGUCACACAGGUACCAGCUCCUUACUACAUAAAGGGA